This 487-nucleotide ribosomal RNA is filed under the name Neisseria sp. oral taxon 014. RNAcentral's name for it is "bacterial SSU rRNA". It matches the Rfam family "Bacterial small subunit ribosomal RNA", at positions 30 to 504 of the family's 1533-position model. Lineage: Bacteria; Pseudomonadati; Pseudomonadota; Betaproteobacteria; Neisseriales; Neisseriaceae. The record is from RNAcentral.
AUUGAACGCUGGCGGCAUGCUUUACACAUGCAAGUCGGACGGCAGCGGGGUAGUGCUUGCACUACUGCCGGCGAGUGGCGAACGGGUGAGUAACAUAUCGGAACGUACCGAGCAGUGGGGGAUAACUAAUCGAAAGAUUAGCUAAUACCGCAUAUAUUCUGAGGAAGAAAGCAGGGGACCUUUGGGCCUUGCGCUGUUUGAGCGGCCGAUAUCUGAUUAGCUGGUUGGUGGGGUAAAGGCCUACCAAGGCGACGAUCAGUAGCGGGUCUGAGAGGAUGAUCCGCCACACUGGGACUGAGACACGGCCCAGACUCCUACGGGAGGCAGCAGUGGGGAAUUUUGGACAAUGGGCGCAAGCCUGAUCCAGCCAUGCCGCGUGUCUGAAGAAGGCCUUCGGGUUGUAAAGGACUUUUGUCAGGGAAGAAAAGGGCGGGGUUAAUACCCCUGUCUGAUGACGGUACCUGAAGAAUAAGCACCGGCUAACUAC